GGACCAGCAGUGAGAGACUUCAGCCACAGACUGGAGAAGAACUAUGACUCAUGUUUCUGGUUUUUGUGCCCUGACUCUCCAGGAGGGAAGUAAUCUCUUUCUCUGAUACAUGUGUUUCAAAGGAUACAAAGUAGAGAGCUGACCUGAGGAAUCUGAAGGCCUUUCAGCCACAAAAAUCUGUACAUUUAUCAAAACCAACAAUUUUUCACAUAAGAUUCCUGAAAGACAGAGGAGUCAUCCUAACAGUAUUCGUAUCUAAUUGCCUCAAGGGACACCAGGAACAGAAAAUACUCUGUGUGUCUGACAAUUAAAGGCCAUUUGGCUGUUCCAGACUGCUGGCCAGUGAGGAAGAAAGGACAAUAUAUACUUUGCACAGCUGGAGAAAAAUGCUGAUGUGGAUGCUGGGAUGGUGAAGAGAGACAGGAACUGAUGAAAAUUAUGUAAG
Chroicocephalus ridibundus (black-headed gull) is the source of this 445-nucleotide long non-coding RNA. RefSeq lists it as uncharacterized. The transcript has 3 exons. The record is from RefSeq and is a predicted model, not a curated record. NCBI's taxonomy places the organism in Eukaryota, Metazoa, Chordata, Aves, Charadriiformes, Laridae.